Molecule: long non-coding RNA, 635 nt
Organism: Cornus florida
Lineage: Eukaryota; Viridiplantae; Streptophyta; Magnoliopsida; Cornales; Cornaceae
Exons: 2
Source: RefSeq, a predicted model, not a curated record
CUGCCCAACGUACGUAUGAAGGUCCUUUCUCCUUAAAAGCUGCUUCAACGUUUUGAUAUUCAUUCUCAAUCUGUUGAAGAAAUUCAAGGUUAUGGGGAAAUUGCAUUUGGAGGCACAAGAUUGUUGAACCAGCUAAUGCAUGUGAACCAGAAUUGCGACAAUUAAGAGUGAUGGUAAUCUUCUCAUAUCUCAACUUUGCUUUCAUAUUACUUCAUAUGUGUGCCAACUCUAUGCAGUCCUUAUUGGGGAUAAUGUUAGGGGCCGGAAAGAGUGCUUCUCAUAUCACGGAAACCUCAUUAUGAUGCUGCUCUACGUCUUAUACGUUAUUUGGAAGGUCAAAUGCAGUGUUCCGUUAGGGGCCGGAAAGAGGUGCAAGGGACUAUUGCUUGGUGCAGUGGUAAAGUGCUCAUGCUAUCAAGCAUGAGAAUGGUGAGUUCGAAUCCUGAGAGCAGACACUUUGUGCAAAUAAUGUUGAAAGUUAGGUUUGUAUCUAGUUUUCCCCUCCCAACACUCCCAAUUAUGGAAAUGAGAUUUGUUAUGCUUAGCUGUGUUGUUAGAGAAUAGAGGUUAAUAGUUUUCUGAAAAAUGUUGUAUAAGAACAGAGAUUAAAAAAAAUGCCAAAUUUCAUGGAACAA